RNAcentral lists this transfer RNA (70 nucleotides) under Podarcis lilfordi (Lilford's wall lizard). RNAcentral describes it as "tRNA.Lys". The stretch from base 7 to 62 matches the Rfam family "tRNA", at positions 10 to 63 of the family's 71-position model. From Rfam's summary of the family: Transfer RNA (tRNA) molecules are approximately 80 nucleotides in length. Their secondary structure includes four short double-helical elements and three loops (D, anti-codon, and T loops). The record is from RNAcentral. Lineage: Eukaryota; Metazoa; Chordata; Lepidosauria; Squamata; Lacertidae.
GGUUUCUCUCAGUUGGUAAAGCAUGAGACUCUUAAUCUCAAGGUUGUGAGUUCAAGUCCCACGUUGGCUG